GGGAACCCGCUGGAGUCCCUUUCCACAGUGUGGAAGCUUUGUUCUUUCGCUCUUUGCAAUAAAUCCUGCUGCUGCUCACUCUUUGGGUCCACACUGCCUUUAUGAGCUGUAACACUCACCAUGAAGGUCUGCAGCUUCACUCGUGCCUGAGCCAGCGAGAGCAGGAACCCACCAGAAGGAAGAAACUCCAAACACAUCCGAACAUCAGAAGGAACAAACUCCAGAUGCGCCACCUUAAGAGCUGUAACACUCACCACGAGGGUCCGGGGCUUCGUUCUUGAAGUCAGUGAGACCAAGAACCCACCAAUUCUGGACACAGGAGCACAGGUGUCUUUUCAAGAUUCUGAUUUCAUUUCCUUUGGAUGUAUACCCAGCAGUGGGAUUUGUGUUCAUAAGAUUAAGGUCAUUCCUCGCUCAUUGGGAACACUGAGUCAAAGAAAAUAAGUUUGCAAGAAGACAAGGAAUGACCUGUAGGCAUACUAAGCCUGCAUUUGAGACUGACAAGGAGUGAGAGAUACUGUUUUGAGUGUGUGUGAAAAUGAAGAGAAUGAAUCAUCUUUUACUGAUUAUAAUCUAUAACUUGAGUUUGCAAGUCAAAGAACUUCUGAAACAGGGGAAAUUAAACAAGGCUACAAGCACUUUUUGAAACCCAUUUAUGCCAUCAACAACAAGGAAUCUAAUUACAAUUUUGAGAUGCUCUAGGGAAAAAAAAUAACCACCACAAGCUGAAGGAUUGCAAAAGCAGGGAUACAAUAUCUGUCAAAUACAUCUGGAGACUGCUGCAUCCAGCUAGGCAUACAUGUUGCUAAAAAUCAAGCCCUGAAAUCUAACUUCAAGUUUCAAGUGGACUUUGUGGUCUCAUUCUGGUCUUCAUAUGUUACUGUCACAAAACCACCAUGGAGUUCAGCAUAAUUCAUUGCGGCUGGUGGUCUUCAAUCUGAAGAAGCCAGAAACAGGAAUAGCAAGAGUUAUGGGAUGUAGCAGCAUUUUGAUUCUCUAUAAUGUUGAUUUGGAGUCCACUCAAAAGACUUGGAGGUAUAUCAGACUUUGAAUUUACACCUUAUCGU
This 1067-nucleotide long non-coding RNA is filed under the name Homo sapiens (human). RNAcentral's name for it is "HSALNT0304844". The record is from RNAcentral. Lineage: Eukaryota; Metazoa; Chordata; Mammalia; Primates; Hominidae.